This 305-nucleotide long non-coding RNA is filed under the name Dermacentor andersoni. Its description in RNAcentral is "uncharacterized LOC126520271". Lineage: Eukaryota; Metazoa; Arthropoda; Arachnida; Ixodida; Ixodidae. The record is from RNAcentral.
UGUAUUUAUUCCUUGUGCUCAACAAUGUCAUUGCUGAGUAGAGGACAAGCUGUAUGCAAAGCUAGGAGAAGACUCGCUUUCUAGUCCUUGGAUGGAAGUCAGCACACAGCCUGAGGCAACAAGUGGCCUGAAAUACUAUGCGGAGUUCUGGGAUAAAGACGAAAAGUGUGGUAUCCUAAAAGUUCGUGUAUCAGGCGAAGAUCAGUUCGAAAAGCACGUAUGGGAUAGUAAGGUUGAUGGAGAACAAUCAAAGUGCGAUGAGAAAUACAAAGAGUUAACUACCGGAAAAACAUCACACACCAUUU